GGGGACGUGGCGGAACUGGCAUACGCGUACGGCUUAGGACCGUAUUCCGAAAGGAUUGUGGGUUCAACUCCCACCGUCCCCACCA
RNAcentral lists this transfer RNA (85 nucleotides) under Patescibacteria group bacterium. RNAcentral describes it as "tRNA-Leu". It matches the Rfam family "tRNA". From Rfam's summary of the family: Transfer RNA (tRNA) molecules are approximately 80 nucleotides in length. The record is from RNAcentral.